RNAcentral lists this ribosomal RNA (801 nucleotides) under Staphylococcus saprophyticus. Its description in RNAcentral is "bacterial SSU rRNA". It matches the Rfam family "Bacterial small subunit ribosomal RNA", at positions 94 to 873 of the family's 1533-position model. Lineage: Bacteria; Bacillati; Bacillota; Bacilli; Caryophanales; Staphylococcaceae. The record is from RNAcentral.
AGGGGAGGCGGGAAGAAAUACACGUGGGGAACCUCCUUAGAGGGGGAUACAUCGGGAACGGGAGCUAUCCGGAUACAUUUGGAACCGAUGGUUAUAAUUGAAAGAUGGUCUGCUAUACUUAUGAUGGACCCGCGCCGCUUUGCUGUUGGGGGGUAACGGCCUUCCAAGGCGACGAUCGUAGCCGACCUGAGAGGGUGAUCGGCCACAUUGGAACUGAGACACGGCCCAGACUCCUACGGGAGGCAGCAGUAGGGAAUCUUCCGCAAUGGGCGAAAGCCUGACGGAGCAACGCCGCGUGAGUGAUGAAGGGCUUUCGGCUCGUAAAACUCUGUUAUUAGGGAAGAACAAACUGUGUAAGUAACUGCUGCACGUCUUGACGGUACCUAAUCAGAAAGCCACGGCUAACUACGUGCCAGCAGCCGCGGUAAUACGUAGGUGGCAAGCGUUAUCCGGAAUUAUUGGGCGUAAAGGGAGCGCAGGCGGUUUCUUAAGUCUGAUGUGAAAGCCCACGGCUCAACCGUGGAGGGUCAUUGGAAACUGGGAAACUUGAGUGCAGAAGAGGAAAGUGGAAUUCCAUGUGUAGCGGUGAAAUGCGCAGAUAUAUGGAAGGAACACCAGUGGCGAAAGGCGACAUUUCUGGUCUGUUACUGACGCUGAUGCUCGAAAGCGUGGGGAGUCAAACAGGAUUAGAUACCCUGGGUAGUCCACGCCCGUAAACGAUGAGUGCUAAGUGUUAGGAGGGGUUUUCCGCCCCUUCAGUGCCUGCAAGCUUAACGGCAAUUAAGCAACCUCCCCGCCCUU